GAAACGAACAGAUCGCAGAUCGCGGCUGAAAAAAGAAGAGGAGACAGAGAUACGGAGGACGCGAUAGCGAUGGAGGAAGAUGGUAGAAAGGGGAAAAGCGGCGAGCGCGGAAAUCCCGGCGAGAAUCCUUAUCAACAGUGUCGCGGUGAAGAACGCGAGAAGCGAUUGUCGGAUAACGGCGCGGAGAAAAUCGACCGAUUAGAUCGAGUCGAGGAGAAGAACGAUGCGACGGAGAUACCGGGGAAGCUGGCCAAGAGCCUCGAGCAUGAGCUCGAGAAUGAGCGUGGUCGACGCGAUCGACGCGAUCGACGCGAAAGCGAGGAAAACCCGGUUGCUCGUAGAGAUAGGAAGAAAGAAAAGAGGGAUAAGGACGACGAGCAGGCAGAUAGGGUGCGUCUAAGUAAGAAUAAGGGGUCUGGAAGUAAGAGAACGACGGAUUCGGCUGAUGGUGACGCGGAAACGGGACGCUCCGCCGUUAAUGAAGAGGGAAAACUUCCUGCGAGCAACGGAAAGCGCAAAGGUGCGUCAACCGGCGAAAGAAGCGAUCCCGGGGAAGCGAGAAAACGGACAGCUAACCCUUCAAAUCCAAUCGAAUACCAAUUAUCGAACGCGCACUUUGUGGAGCUCGGUUGGACCCGAUUGCCAGUUACCAAAAUUAUGAGAAAGAUCGUACGAUAUGAAGCCAUACCGGCGAAGCCCGGCCUAAAUUGGAGGCAAAGACGCAUUGGCGAUCGAGAGGGAGUCUCAGAUCUUGGCGAUAUUCGACACCAUGGGACACGGCGUCGUUCUCGACGUGGACGGCGCGGCGAGGUAACGCGCGCGGAAAAAGAAUUUACAAAAGAAUGUUUAAUUACUGUCGAGAGAGAAGCUCUCUCGCGCGCACGCCAAUUCAGGCACUCCAAUUACUUCUGCAGGCUGUCCUACAACCAGAUCGGAGGAAUUUUUACGGACAAUCCCGCCGGUCUGCCCCUCGUUUGGGCUUGGAACGCGAAUCCGAGGGAGUCGAUACUCGAGACUGUAUACACGGUGUGUGCGUGCGCGCGCGAACGAUGUUUAUCGGAGUUUUUCCCACUUCCUUCCAGUAUAGAUUUUCGAUCAAUCAUGAAUAAGCGAACGGAGCUAAAACCUUUCACGUACUUUAUAACUUCUCCGUCGAAUCACGAAUUGAAAAUAUGUAAAGGCAACUUUUACGCGAUUCCUACAGCUCGUAAAUAGAAUAACAAAUUUAUCCUGAAAUUUUCUGUAAAGAGAUUAUACGCGGAAUGGGCACAGUCGUUACGUUAUCCAUGCAAGAUUUAGCAUUUUAAAUGAUACUAGUGUUAAUCGAUAAAUUGCAUGAAAUAAAACGAUCUUUUUUUCAACUGCAGGAAAAUUUAACCGAACCGUUGCAAAUGGAAUUUUUCCGUCCGACUGGUAAAUCGACGGAAAGGUGAGACAUGCUUUCAAAGAUUUAUUUCCGGAAACGUUAAGACACCGAUAUCACCGUCCAGCUCGAGAAAUAAGGAAAAGAAGGUCGCCGAAGUGCAGAAACCUGUUGUCGAGGAGCGACAAGAAGAGGCCGGGAGCAAGUAUGUCAAGCAAAAAAGUAGAGCGAAUUCUAUCCAAACAAAGCAUUCUAAUUACGCCACAUACUACCGUUUGGAAAUACUCAUGCUGGAAAUAAAUUGCAUCGUAUUUCGUUAAGCGCAUCUCUCUCGUUUAUGGAUACUGCCCUAUUUAAAAUAAUGUUUCACGAAUUAUAUAUUGUCGUGCGUGUUGAAAAUUAACGCAUUAGAGAAUUAUAUAUAAGAUAUACCUACUCGUUCUGUAAUAAUAAU
Molecule: RNA transcript, 1817 nt
Organism: Temnothorax curvispinosus
Lineage: Eukaryota; Metazoa; Arthropoda; Insecta; Hymenoptera; Formicidae
Gene name: protein pxr-1-like
Exons: 4
Source: RefSeq, a predicted model, not a curated record